Molecule: ribosomal RNA, 292 nt
Filed under: uncultured bacterium
Lineage: Bacteria
Also listed under: 1 other name
Description: partial 16S ribosomal RNA
Source: RNAcentral
GGACUACCAGGGUAUCUAAUCCUGUUUGAUCCCCACGCUUUCGUGCCUCAGUGUCAGUUACAGUUUUGUGAGCUGCCUUCGCAAUGGGUGUUCUGUGUCAUAUCUAAGCAUUUCACCGCUACACGACACAUUCCACUCACAUCAAAUGUACUCAAGAAUAACAGUAUCAAUGGCAGUUCUACAGUUAAGCUGCAGGUUUUCACCACUGACUUGUCAUUCCACCUACGCACCCUUUAAACCCAGUGAAUCCGGAUAACGCUUGGAUCCUCCGUAUUACCGCGGCUGCUGGCAC